AAGCCCGGAACUAGCUGGCCCAUCUUGAUAUUUUCGGCAGCGCAGGCCCCCGUCUGUCAGGCCCAACCACCGCACGGCCGGUCCGGCGCUACCCCCUCCGCCCUCUCGUCGGCGACGCGGCCCCGCCGGCAGAAGACCGCGGCGCAGCUUCCCGUCCGCUCCCCGCUCGCCGCCCGACUAGUGGCAGGCAGCGCAAGGGUGAAAGUAGGUCCAAGAAGAGGGCAAUGCACAUACAACUAUCCUGAACAUCACUAACUUGUUGUUGCAAUGUAUUUGAACUAAACAUUCUUACCACCAGAUUUCCUAUGUAAGUACCUGAGUGCUCGUCACAUAUCUGUGUUGGGCAAAUAUUCAUUGAUAAAUUUGAUAUUGACAUGCAUUGCUGAAUUUAGUUUCUCUGCAAAGAUGGAUAAUAAGAUGAUGGAGGGCAUUACUUGGGAGUGAAA
This is a long non-coding RNA of Triticum aestivum (bread wheat), 446 nucleotides long. RefSeq lists it as uncharacterized. The transcript is spliced from 2 exons. Lineage: Eukaryota; Viridiplantae; Streptophyta; Magnoliopsida; Poales; Poaceae. The record is from RefSeq and is a predicted model, not a curated record.